AUUGGCAGAUAGGUUACACAUACCAGAGGUUCUUAAUACAUAGUAUUUGUAUAGGAGGUGUUUGAAAUUUCAUGGGAAAAUAGAGGUUACAUUAUUGGGAAAUAUUGCAAAGAAUCAUCAUAUAGUAGAGAAUGGUAGAUACAUGUCUAGCUGAAGAAAUCUUCUCUUGACAAUUUAACUAUAUACCAGAACCAAGUCUUACUUGAAAACACGGAGUAAUCCUCUUUUCUGGAGGGACAAAGAUUCAUAGGAUUACUUGUAUUUAUUUGGUCGGUUUGGGGACAAUUAGGAAGAAUUAAGGCUAGCAUCCAGGCUAUGACUGAUUGAAAUAAGAACUCUCAUAGGACUCUUACAGAACAAUGUCUCUCAAAGGUUGACUGUGCUUAAAAGAAGUAAUCACAGUUAACAAAUAGUUGGGAUAACCUAAGGGACAUGGCUUUCUGCAGGUUACAUCUAUUCAGAUUACUCAUUUAUAUGUUAUUAUUGAGUUGGUAUAAGGUCAAAUAAGGCAACUUUGCCCACUUACAUACAAGAUAUUUCUCCCCAGUGUAACAUGCUAUGAAUUGUUUUAUAUAUUAACCCACUACAACGAUUGAGCCUACAUAAAAGCAUCUAACAUAAAAUAAUAACAAUGCUAUGAAUGUUGAUAUUAUGUUUAAUAUUAUAUGCUAGUAUUUUAAUAUUUACAAUUAUAUAGAAUAAAUUAGAUGUAUUUUGGAAAUAAUUGUCUUGGUGUUAAAUCUGAUAAAGACAAGGUCAGAUGUCAAUAAACAUUCAUAAAUGUAUUAUCUCUUGUUUGGUCAAAGAGAAUGUAUUAUCUUUUGUUUGGUCAAAGAGAAUGAAUGUAAAAGGAAUAUAGAUGUAUAAACUGUAGAAGAAAUCCUGUAUUUCAUUACCACUUUUGCAUUUUUCUUGUGAUAAAUGAGACAAAGCAUGACUGAGAUAUUGAGGCAAGGCAUAUGUAAACUCUUGACAGAUACAUUCAUUGACAAGAAAAAAAUAUAUAAUUAUGUUCAUAAACAUGGACUUUUAACACCAAACUGGCCAAAAGUCCCAGAGCUUGGGAAUACACUUCAGAAAAAAAUUAACCUGAACCUCAAUCUUUAACUAUAUGUAAGGUCAGCAUUAAACAUGCUUAAGGAAGAGUACUAUAUUCCUAUAAAUGUAGAUUUCUGGGUUUAGUCCAAACCAAAGUAUUAUGCCUUAUGGCUGCUUGAUAUACAUUUCUCAUAUAGCUGCAUUGCAGUUUUUCUCUAUGACUGUCGUUUAUCAAACUUGCCUUGUAAUUGUAUCAUCAUUUGAUUUACAACUUUUGAAGCUAUAAGUUAUAUUGUUAGAUGAAUACAAAACCAUGAGAUUUAGACAGUCUGGAGUCAUCCCUUUCAUUAUUAUUUAGUUGCUCUAAUAAUUUUUGGAGAAAUUAAAAAACCUUAUCAACCAAAGGUUCUUUCUGUUCCAGUGUAGAUGAUAGGGGAAAUAUGAUUUAUUAUUGAAUAUGCAUAUCAGAUUACAUGUAGGCAGGCUGUCCUCCUGAGACUGACUCCUGGAUAGAAUUUCACAUAAAUUUGCAGAAAAAAUAACAGUAAAGCUGUACUUUCACCCAAGACAAAUGGAUGCACCUUGUAGCUUCUGUACCUCAUGUGAAACUUUUAAAUUUAUUUUUGAGAUAUGUGCUUACCAUUCUAUGGUGAAAAGUUCCUCAGAUCUUCACGUAAAGUCGAAUGUUGAGUCUAUUAUUGGGUCUAUUGUGUUUUCAAAGUUAUGCUAUGGCAAAUGACAUUUACUUCUUAGUGUCAUUAUAAAGAUUAAAUGAGUUAAAAUCUGUAAAACACAACAGUGCCAGCAAUGUGAUUACUGUGUAAGUAUCGGGUUAAAAAUGUGUUAGAUACCUAUGAUUUCAUAGAUGUGGAUAGCAUAUCUUCUUUUUUUUGUUUUUCUUUUUUUUUUUUUUUUUUUU
RNAcentral lists this long non-coding RNA (1957 nucleotides) under Homo sapiens (human). Its description in RNAcentral is "HSALNT0323223". The record is from RNAcentral. Lineage: Eukaryota; Metazoa; Chordata; Mammalia; Primates; Hominidae.